Non-coding RNA from Marmota monax (woodchuck), 75 nucleotides. The record is from the annotation of a RefSeq genome assembly. Lineage: Eukaryota; Metazoa; Chordata; Mammalia; Rodentia; Sciuridae.
GGCCGGUUAGCUCAGUUGGUUAGAGCUUGGUGCUGAUAACGCCAAGGUCGCGGGUUCGAUUCCCCGUACGGGCCA